This 165-nucleotide small nuclear RNA is filed under the name Chinchilla lanigera (long-tailed chinchilla). Its description in RNAcentral is "U1 spliceosomal RNA (ENSCLAG00000018622.1)". It matches the Rfam family "U1 spliceosomal RNA". Rfam says of the family: U1 is a small nuclear RNA (snRNA) component of the spliceosome (involved in pre-mRNA splicing). Its 5' end forms complementary base pairs with the 5' splice junction, thus defining the 5' donor site of an intron. The record is from Rfam by way of RNAcentral. Lineage: Eukaryota; Metazoa; Chordata; Mammalia; Rodentia; Chinchillidae.
AUACUUACCAGGCAGGGGAGAUACCAUGAUCACAAAGGUGGUUUUCCUAGGGUGAGGCUCAUCCAUUGCUCUACGGAUGUCCUGACCCCUGAGAUUUCCCCAAAUGUGGGGAAACUUGACCACAUAAUUUGUGGUAGUGGGGGACCACAUUCGUGCUUACUCCUA